CCUACGGGAGGCAGCAGUAGGGAAUAUUGCUCAAUGGGGGAAACCCUGAAGCAGCAACGCCGCGUGGAGGAUGAAGGUUUUCGGAUUGUAAACUCCUUUUGUUAGAGAAGAUAAUGACGGUAUCUAACGAAUAAGCACCGGCUAACUCCGUGCCAGAAGCCGCGGUAAUACGGAGGGUGCAAGCGUUACUCGGAAUCACUGGGCGUAAAGGGCGCGUAGGCGGGAUAGCAAGUCAGAUGUGAAAUCCUAUGGCUUAACCAUAGAACUGCAUUUGAAACUGUUGUUCUAGAGUAUGGGGGAGGUAGGUGGAAUGCUUGGUGUAGGGGUAAAAUCCGUAGAGAUCAAGAGGAAUACUCAUUGCGAAGGCGACCUGCUAGAACAUAACUGACGCUGAUGCGCGAAAGCGUGGGGAGCAAACAGGAUUAGAUACCCGAGUAGUC
Molecule: ribosomal RNA, 440 nt
Filed under: uncultured bacterium
Lineage: Bacteria
Description: partial 16S ribosomal RNA
Rfam family: Bacterial small subunit ribosomal RNA
Source: RNAcentral